Molecule: unclassified non-coding RNA, 274 nt
Filed under: uncultured fungus
Lineage: Eukaryota; Fungi
Description: sequence contains ITS1, 5.8S rRNA gene
Rfam family: 5.8S ribosomal RNA (bases 226-274)
Source: RNAcentral
UUUCCGUAGGUGAACCUGCGGAAGGAUCAUUAAUGUAUUGCUUGGGGGAGCGGUGGCGGCCUGCACCGGUGGAGACGCCGUGCUGCGGUCGCCCCGCGCCCUCUUCCAAUUUCAAACCCCUGUGAACCUUUGGGAAAGGCGGCUGUAGUGGCCUGCCCGCCCCGUUUUAACAACUCUGAUGUCUAUUUGAAUGUGUGUCGGGACUUACCCGAUUUAAAAUGAAACAACUUUCAACAACGGAUCUCUUGGCUCUCGCAUCGAUGAAGAACGCAGC